AGAUGCAGGUGCGAGAGAGAGAGAAAGAGGGAGGGAGGGACGAUGGAGAGAUGGAGAGAUGCUGGAGCCUGGGCCCUCUCUCUCCCUCUCUCCCUCCUUCCCUCCCUUCUCCAUCCGGCCC
Non-coding RNA from Podarcis lilfordi (Lilford's wall lizard), 121 nucleotides. The record is from the annotation of a GenBank genome assembly. Lineage: Eukaryota; Metazoa; Chordata; Lepidosauria; Squamata; Lacertidae.